GGAAGAGGGACGGGAGGGGCAAAGCAAAAGAAAGCACUCCUCAGGCCCUGUGCCAGUGCUCUUGCUCAACCCUGGCGUCUGCCCAGCCCCCAGGGAGGUACCAGGUGGGAUGCUGGAGGCCCCGGCACGCUCGGGUCAGGAGUCGGACUCCCCAGUCUCAGUGCCCAGGUGCUGGAUGAAGCCCCCAUUUCUCUGUAGCCAAAUUCAGCUCCGCCAUGUCUGGCCCCUGCCCCCUGCCCCCUGUCCCCUUGCCUGCCCCUCCCAGGCUGCUCCGUCUCAGGAGCCCCCUGUCUCCGGGAGCUGAGGCCUGUUCACACUGAUGUCUGCCCUCGUCCCUCUAACACCUGGGCAGAGGGGGGGUGGGGAGCUCACAGCAGCCCAGAGAGGGUGGGCCCCGGGCUGAGCAGAGCCCCUCCCCACCUGCACCCCAACCCCUUAACAGAGGUCCUCUUCACGGCAGGCUGCAUUCUGCUUUCCAGUCUUCAACUCUGUCCAUCUUGCUUUUGUCAAGAGAGCCUCUUCUGGAACAGCUCCAGGCCCUUCCUUGUAAUAUUGAGCAGGAAACCCCACUUCUCCCAUAGCUGACCUCCUUCCUGAGGGCUGGAGAGGACACUGCAUGAAGGCUCCCCGGAGCCCCCUGACCCUCUCCAGGCCACUCCCCUUCCCCCUCCCUCUGCCCUUAACUCCUCUGCUGCCCCCUCCCCAGCCUCAGGACCCACCCCUCCUCCAGGGAACCUGAGAAGCCAAUGGGGACACUGAGGCAGCCAAGAUGGGUAAGCACCUGCUGGGGUCCACUUGUAUCUGGGAUCAGCCAGGCAGGUCCCUGAGCUCUGCCCAGCUUUCAGCAGGCCAGGGGGCGGCCCUGGACCCCUGCAUGUGGGAGUGCCCCCAGCCACCCCUCAUGUACUUCCACACUCUGGGUCCCACACUGACAGUCCCAUUGACCACGGGAGGGAGAGUGUGGAGCACCAGCUAGGGUCCAGGACUUGGGACACUGCUUGCCCUCCAGGCCUGGGCUGGCAGUGGGCAGGAGAGGGGCUCAGAGGCUGAAAGGGCAGGUUUCAGUAGCUCCACCUGCACAGGCCCCCUCCUCACGUUAAGGUCUGGGCAGUGAGGAUGCGGAGGGGCUCUUGGCCACCUCUACCCAGAGAAGCGGGCAGAAUCCCGGGAUCAGAACAGGUGGGUAUACUGACGGUCUCCCCACACCUCUUCACAUCUCACCCCUCAAUCUCAGUGAGAUCCCCACCCCACCAACGGCACGCGGCCACAGAUCUUCCGGGCUUGGGGUCCAGGGCCAGUGAGGUGAGGGGCGCCUGGGGGCUCUGGGCCUGGGGAGACACCACGGUCAGACCCGGGCAGGGGCAGGGGGCUAAUUGCUCCUUUUUUUUGAGGAAGAUUAGCCCUGAGCUAACUGCUGCCAAUCCUCCUCUUUUUGCUGAGGAAGGCUGGCCCUGAGCUAACAUCCGUGCCCAUCUUCCUCUACUUUAUAUGUGGGACACCUACCACAGCAUGGCAUGCCAGGUGGUGCCAUGUCCAUACCAGGGAUCCAAACUGGCGAACCCUGGGCCACCAAAGCGGAACGUGCGCACUUAACCACUGCGCCACUGGGCCAGUCCAUAAUUGCUCCUUAUUAAUGUACAACUAUCAGUGCAAAUAAUCCGUAACCAAUCUAUAAAUCAAAAUUGUGGUGAGUUUAUCAUGAGCCAAAUGUGAGGACCAUAUAGCCUGGGAGAGUCCUUCCACAAAGGAACGGAGCACUCCAAAGAAGUGGGGGUAUACAGAGUGGUUAUGCACCCUCAGAGAGCAUGUAUCCCACAUGAUUGAAAUGUCCCUUUUACAGUACUUACAAGACUGCUCUGAGGGCACAGUGAUUGAUGGACACGGUAGGUAGUAGGUCGGCUGUCUCGGUGGGCACAGCAGGGUGGCAGGUCUGUUGUCUCAAGCUGGGUGAUCACAGGUGAGCUGUGUGGUCACAGGUGAGCACAGCAAUCACUUCCUAGCCUAAGGAAAGAUGCUUAUCCUUAAGGAAAUGCUAAUAUGGGGGAAGUUGCAGCUUUACCUUAAGGGCAUUUGUUCUUGCCUUUGAGACAUAGGAAAUGCUUCAAGCAGACAUAAAUGUCUGUUCAAUGGCCACAUCAGGCCCUUUUGGAAAAAAAAAAAAAAAGUCCAGGCCAAAUCAGCUUUAUACCAAGUGGCUUCCUCAUAUACUCCAAUAUAUGCUAUUGCUUGUCAUUUUCAUCACAGCCCUUCCCCCAGGAUUGCAGGAAGCCCAGCUCCUCAGGACUGGAGAGGAAGGGCAUUCAACCCUGCCUCCCCCACACCUCCGUUGGGGCUCUGGGUGGGACCUUGCCCCCGUCUCCCCCCUGUGCUUCUCAGGGCGGAGACCUGGAGUGGUCCUGGGCUCCCCACUCUGCCCUCCCUGCGUAGCCCCCUCCCCCAGGGCCCAGUCAAGACCCUGGCCAGCUCCCCGAGGCCGGGCCAGCUCCCCGAGGCCAGGCCUGCUCCAAGCUCUCAGAAGGCAGUUGCAGCCUCGCCCUCCCUUGGGUAGGGUCCUGAGUCUCAGAUUUGGGUACCCAGUGGUACCUCACUUUUGGGGCCUCAGCCCUCCACCCCUCAGGGCCUAGUGAGAGCUGUGGUCCCUGUGGGACCAUAAAGGGGGCCACCCCUGGCAGGAGGGGAGACUGAGAACCCGGGCAUCCCAGGUCGCACUGUGAGCAGGAGUCCCCUGCCCCACCUCCUCGCUGCCCUCCUCUGAGGGGCCUCCAGAGCCACCGAGAGCAGGGGCAAGGCAGAGGGCUACUGUGGGGCAGAAAAAUAAUUGUCCCUCUACCUUCCUAGGCUCUUGGCUGAGACACUCCUUCACAACCCACCCCCACCCAAUAAAUGACAUUAACAGGAGAAAAACAAACACAAGUUUAAUGACAGGUAUAUCUCCCAUACACAUGGGAGAGACCCAGGAAAACUGGGGAACUCCUUGAAAUGGCCCAAACCACCACCUUAAAAACCAUCCCCGGCUAAAGACAAAGGAGGAAGGGGGGCAGCGCAGUGACAGGCAGUGACCAGGAAAAGCCCAGCGACAGAGGACAAGGCUGUCAUGCAGACAGCAGACCGCCUGCUCCACUGAUCAGUUUCUGGAGGUUAAGAGUCACCCUCCUCAUCCUGGGAGAGGGGGACGCCCUGACACGUGGAGAUUUCCCUCAUAAAUGGAAAUUUCCCUCACAAAAGGGCAAGUGCUACUGAGAGCUUCUGUGUCUGUUUGUUAAAAAUAAUCAGGCUAAAAUAAUCCUUAUGCCAAAGAAGCAGAUUUUGGGCUGACAGAUUCUGCUCCCCCUUGGCCCCAAGAAAGCCCGGGACCCCUUAGCGCUGCUUCUUUCCUGCCCCCUCCCCCUCCCUCUGCGAGGCUUUCAGGGGCCCCCUGCGGCUGAGAACUUGGCUCUUCCCACUUCGAGGGGCCCACACUGUGUUCAUGGUUCCAGGUUCUCUCUCCCUUUUUUUUUUUUUUUUUACAGAUUAUUUAUUUAUUUUUAUUUAUUUGUGGAGGUUUUCGAGGAAGAUCAGCCCUGAGCUAACAUCUGCCACCAACCCUCCUCUUUUUGCUGAGGAAGACUGGCCCUGAGCUAACAUCUGUGCCCAUCUUCCUCUACUUUACAUGUGGGCCGCCUGCCACAGCAUGGCUUGAUGAAUGGUGCGUAUGUCCACACCCGGGCUCCAGCCCCAGGAACCCUGGCCGCCAAAGCAGAACCUGCAAACUUAGCCUCUGCUCCACCGGCCCCGCCCCAGGUCCCUUUUUUCUUAAGGAAGAACCCUCCAAAGACCUGCCUCUCCAUCAUCGCAUGGCACUGCACCCAGAGGCUCACCCCGCGCCUUGGGCUCGGCUGCUGCAGGAGGACCCCGGCCUUGGAGCCAGGCCCCGCCCCUCCGCCCCCUCCGAGAAAGGAGGGCUCCGUGCCCCCUGGAGGCUCUGGUGGCUGGGGAGGGCGGGGCUCCAGGGGGGAGGAGGGGCUGCCCGGUGCUCUGGGCAGAGGAUGUUUUUUCACACUGACUCCUGCGGGAGGAGGGGCUCACAGAGCCGCUGAGUUUCGGUUUCCUGGCGCUCAGGGCCUGAGCCCAGGGCGGAGAAACAGAGAGAAAAAGCAGCCCUGAGGCGCAGGGGUCAUGCUCUCGGCCAGGCACGCCCUGCCCUUGGAGGAGGGUUUCCAGCUGAGCCCUCUGUCAGCAAGACCCGCGUAGACGGAGCCUGGAAGGGCCCAGCACGGGGGCAGCCAGCCUCUGAGACCCCAGGCCAGGCACCCCCGCCUCCCGCUCCCUCACGGGGACAGACAAGCAGAAAGCCGGGAAGUGGGGGCACCUGGGCCUGGGCAUGGCAUCGGAGCUCCCUUAAGGAGGCUCAGCCUGUCUUCAUUUUGUUCAUGCCUUGUCCCAUCCCUGCCUUCCUGAGUGCCCCAGCCCCAUACACACCACACCCACACUGUGGUCCCCAGGGAGACUUCGGAAGGCCCAGGAAAGGGACCAGGUGGGCCACACAGGAUGGACCGGGGUGACCAUGGGCCUCCUCCAAGCUGCUGGAGGGCAGGGCCUUCUGGGAGAGGACAGAGCCCUGGAGCACACACCCCUGGACAAGGAAGGGCCUGGUGCUGGGGAGGGGUGCCCCCGUGGGAGACCCAGAAUUGGUCCCUGGGGUCUCAGGGCUGGGAGUGGAGGGGUGUGAGAACGCAGCGUGCCACCCAGGCAGGAGCCCGAGUGGCUUUGAGAGGGUGGAGCGUCUGUGCUGUGUGCAGGGGCCCAGGUGGAUUGUUAAAUGUUCUAAGAGACAAAUGGGCUCUCCCUAACUGAGGCCUAAAGUCUUUUCUGUUGACCCCGGGGUGGUUUCUCAGGAGAAAUGGAAGCUUAAGCAAUGUAUAUGUGACCGCUGAUCCCUAAUGAUGCGGGGUCGGUGAGCCGAGGAGUCGAAAGAAAGAUUUCUUAGACUCUUAAGAUCUGGCAGUAGUGCUCUUUUAUUUAGAGAAUAGAAUAGCAUGGGGACAGGACCCAUGGGCAGUCAGAGCUGCUGCGUAGGGACAGGACCCACGGGCAGUCAGAGAUGCUGCUGGCAUAGGGAGCUGCUGCUGCCACUGCUGGCAUGGGGACAGGACCCAUGGGCAGGCAGAGCUGCUGCCAGCAUGUUGCUGUUGCUGCUGCGGCUUCUGUUGCAAAGUUGGGUGGAGAGUAAGGCUAAAUUUAAGGCAUAGGUAUGUGAGUUAUCUCUUUACAAGACAAAGGAAAGAAUAUGUAAAAAAGUUAAAAUGGUAUCAGUGCCUGUAGGGUCGGGCCAUUUGGCGGUCCCACAACUUUUAGAUUGAGUAAAUGGCAGAAGUCACCGCUUGAAUAUUACCCUCAGCUAAAGACAAAGGAGGAUUUUUGCGGGGGGAGGGGUGUCAGUUACAUGAGGUUGCCAGACAGUAGCCAACUUAAGUUCUUGCCUCUGGCAUUAAGAGUUUCUAGAGAUAAGGCCAUCCCCCUUCUUCCUGGCACAGAGAGGGAGGCAUCUUUACAGAUAGAGGUUUCCCUUAGAAAUGUAAAUGUUUCCCAAUGAAGGGGCAAGCAAAUUCUACUUCUCAGAGCCUGCCUCUCGUCUGUAGUUUUAAAAUUAACCAGCCUAAAAAUCCACAUCACCUGACUUAUGACGUUUUACAACCGACCUUUCAUCAAGGUUCCUGCUUUGCUAAUCGAGAUGAGAGGAAGACUGCAGCCAGCAGUCAGACCACCAGACCACGUCUGUAGACUGCAUCGGUCACUGUGGCUGUGGGAUUAGGACUGACACCAAACCCCAGUGGUUUCAGCCCGUGUGGUCCUCUCCUGCCCGACCCUUCCGAGCACUGGCCCCAGACCUCCGUGGUCCACGCGUCCGCAGCCCGCAGGCUGUCACGGGAUGAAAUACAUGUCAGCUUCCCUGGCCCUCGGACCUUGGUGUUUCCUUCCGGCUUGACGGUUUGGAGGACACCUCCUGAUGGGGGAGGGCAGAGCAGGAGAUCCAGGAACAACCCAGCAGCCCCAGCCAGGGCUCAGGCCUGCAGAGACCUGCCUGCCCCGCCAGUCCCUGCAGGGGACCCAGGUCUGUGGGACUAGGGGCCAUGCCAGCAGGCCAGCCAUGAGUGGGGUCGCUCUGCCAUCCAGUGUCCUGAUGACGGCUCUGUGACAUGCAGAGUGGCUUCCCUCCUCUCUCACAGGGCCCCUGAUUGUCACCUUGGUAGCUUCUUCCCAAGUGCCCUCAGCUGCAGUCAGCGUUAGAAGGGCCUGACUGUGGCUGUUGAGCACACAUUGUAUAUCUGCUUGGACAUUUCCUAUGGCCAGAACAAAGGCCCUUGAGAUAAAGGUCCUCCCCCUCCGACAUUGGCAUUUCCUUAGGGAUAAGCAUCUUUCAUUAGGCUACGAAGUGAUUGCUGCACUCACCUUUGACCACCCAGCUCACCUGUGACCACCCAGCUGGAGACAACAGACUGCCACCCUGCGGGGUUCACUGAGACAGAAGACCUGCCUGCUGUUUCCAUCAAUCGCUGUGCUGACAGAGCAGUCUCGCGACGAUUGUAAAAGGGACAUUUCAAUCCUAUGUGAAACAUCCUCUUUGGGGGUAUAUAACCACUCUGUGCACCCCACUUCUUUGGUGCCCUUUCUUCCUUCGGGAAGAAAGGCCCCAGGUUAUAAUCCUCAAAUUUAAGCUCAGAAUAAACUCACCCAAAUUUUCAUUUAUAGAUUGGUUAUGGAUUAUUUUCGUCGACAUUGGUGAGCCAGGAGCCUGGUGGAGAUUGGAGGAGGAGAGAGCAGUGGGAUUUGACCCGCCACCACCUCCUGCAGGGUCCCCUGGGACAGUCCCUGUCCCCCCACUUCCCAUCGCUUCUCUGGGGCAGUGUCCCCAUGGCCCUCUCACCCCCUUUGCAGCCUGGGCGGUAGGUCGCUCGUGACCCUGCAGCCAGCCCUGGAGGCACUGUGCGUGUCUCUGGUUUCCCGGGGUCCUGCCUACCCCUCUCCAAAUGGUGCUCAGAGGCCACUCUCUCCUGGUUUUCUGACUUGGGUGGUCAUCUGUUUCUGUUGGGAGCCUGAUUGAGACACUGCCUCUGCCUGACUCUCGAGGUGGGGGAGGGACUCCAUCA
This 7127-nucleotide long non-coding RNA is filed under the name Equus caballus (horse). RNAcentral describes it as "lncRNA (ENSECAG00000056029.1)". The record is from RNAcentral. Lineage: Eukaryota; Metazoa; Chordata; Mammalia; Perissodactyla; Equidae.